CCUCCCAUCCGUGGUGACCAGAGAGGUCACUCAUGUCCUAAAGUGCAGCCCAGCAUCAGGUCCCAAAUGUGACCCUGCUGUGGCCACCACAUCCCCAGCUGGCAGCUCUGUCCCUGGUGUCCCCACCGUCCCCUUGGGUGACCCAAGUCCCUCUUGUGGAUGGGGACAGAGGUGGGGCCGGCAUGGUGAAUGCUUUCACCCUAGAAAUAGAAGUCAGUGUUUGCCUAUGGCGUCUGUCAUGAUGUCCCAACUUCCUGAGUAGCCAGCGGGGAGGGUGUGUGGUCACCCCAAGUUCUGUGCAUUUCAGAAGUCACUGGGUGUCUGGACCUGAGGCCAUGCCACUUCGGGGGAGAUGGGGUUCAGUUAUCUUUGCCAUGAGAUGGGUAGCGUCCAGUCUCAGAAAUGACAGGGUCCAGCCAUUGCCUAAUGGCUGCUGAGGGAGACGUGUCACUUCCUGUGACAUUGUGACAUUGUUUCCAAGGAAGGGGAAGGAGGUGGCUCAAACCUCCAUCUUCCCAGAACUGUCCCCUGCCCCCGGGGACAUUGGAGUGUCCUUCCCAGGGGACUCUCAGCUCCCCAAAGGAGCAAGUUUUGGAAAGAAAAUUCAAAUCUGACAAGAUGGGCUUGGGUCAAGGCAGCCUCAGGAGUGGCAAGUGGAAGACAGCUCAGGCUCAUGUCCCCUUCCCUGCGUGUGGCCAUGAGCCACCUGCUCCUGCCCUGGGCCACCUCGGUGACCAUCCUCCUGCUGGCGGCCGACGCAGUGGCUUCUGGGGACCUCGGUGACGGUGACGGAAAAUCCCACCAGCCAUCCACAUCUUCGUCGGGACCCAGGAAAUUCAAGUGACAUCAACCUGGACCUGGUAACGCAUGAUGGCAUCCACCAUGAUGAACGAGACCACAUUUCCUUCCGUAAUGAACAUUGGGGGGUCGUCUUUACGUUUAUAAAAACCCAUCCAUGUGGGAUUUGUCAACAGUGUUUUCUUUCUGGUUCUCACAUAGUCUAAUUAAUUUAUUAUUUGAUUAAUAAAAAGAAUUAAUUGCUUGGCUAUAAAGAAAUU
RNAcentral lists this long non-coding RNA (1058 nucleotides) under Castor canadensis (American beaver). Its description in RNAcentral is "lncRNA (ENSCCNG00000006032.1)". The record is from RNAcentral. Lineage: Eukaryota; Metazoa; Chordata; Mammalia; Rodentia; Castoridae.